RNAcentral lists this ribosomal RNA (396 nucleotides) under Triticum aestivum (bread wheat). RNAcentral's name for it is "partial small subunit ribosomal RNA". The record is from RNAcentral. Lineage: Eukaryota; Viridiplantae; Streptophyta; Magnoliopsida; Poales; Poaceae.
AUGGAUCUAUCAGGCAAUAGUCUUCAUGGACCCAUCCCAACAUACCUAGAGUUGCCUCGUCUUGUCCAUCUGGAGCUCAGAUACAACACUCUCUCAGGCCUAAUCCCAUCAAGCAUUGGUGCUCUCGCCAAGCUCGAAUACUUGGAUCUAUCGGGCAAUCUUCUUAAAGGACCUAUCCCAUCAUUCAUAGCUAAUUGUACUAAACUAACCUCUCUCAAAUUCUGUCAUAAUCUUUUGAGCAAAGGAUCCAUUGUAGGCAAUCGGACGAGUUUACGAUACUUAGAUCUUUCCAACAAUCUAAUAAAUGGUCCCUUCCCUUCAACCAUUCUGAAAUUAGCCUCUCUAACAACGCUGGCACUUCGAUCCAAUCAGCUUAACGGCCUAUUACCAUCAUAA